RNAcentral lists this ribosomal RNA (576 nucleotides) under uncultured Vibrio sp. Its description in RNAcentral is "bacterial SSU rRNA". It matches the Rfam family "Bacterial small subunit ribosomal RNA", at positions 162 to 733 of the family's 1533-position model. Lineage: Bacteria; Pseudomonadati; Pseudomonadota; Gammaproteobacteria; Vibrionales; Vibrionaceae. The record is from RNAcentral.
GCUAAUACCGCAUGAUGCCUACGGGCCAAAGAGGGGGACCUUCGGGCCUCUCGCGUCAGGAUAUGCCUAGGUGGGAUUAGCUAGUUGGUGAGGUAAGGGCUCACCAAGGCGACGAUCCCUAGCUGGUCUGAGAGGAUGAUCAGCCACACUGGAACUGAGACACGGUCCAGACUCCUACGGGAGGCAGCAGUGGGGAAUAUUGCACAAUGGGCGCAAGCCUGAUGCAGCCAUGCCGCGUGUGUGAAGAAGGCCUUCGGGUUGUAAAGCACUUUCAGUCGUGAGGAAGGUAGUGUAGUUAAUAGCUGCAUUAUUUGACGUUAGCGACAGAAGAAGCACCGGCUAACUCCGUGCCAGCAGCCGCGGUAAUACGGAGGGUGCGAGCGUUAAUCGGAAUUACUGGGCGUAAAGCGCAUGCAGGUGGUUUGUUAAGUCAGAUGUGAAAGCCCGGGGCUCAACCUCGGAAUUGCAUUUGAAACUGGCAGACUAGAGUACUGUAGAGGGGGGUAGAAUUUCAGGUGUAGCGGUGAAAUGCGUAGAGAUCUGAAGGAAUACCGGUGGCGAAGGCGGCCCCCUGGA